Long non-coding RNA from Mesocricetus auratus (golden hamster), 716 nucleotides. RefSeq lists it as uncharacterized. The record is from RefSeq and is a predicted model, not a curated record. The transcript is spliced from 3 exons. NCBI's taxonomy places the organism in Eukaryota, Metazoa, Chordata, Mammalia, Rodentia, Cricetidae.
GCUGCCUGCCGUCCUGGCUUAUGGGCUCCCUUUGGCCACUGUUUUUAACACCUGUGGAUACAGUUUGCACCUACCUUGUUUUUGGGGUAAAGAUUCCUCUCUGCUUCCUGGAAUCACUUUCAAAAGAAACAUUCCCCGUGCAAACCACUUCUCCAGCUAGACUCAGCAUUUGGGGUUCAUCUCAUGCAUCUUUCCUGCUGGGAGCCUUGGAUGGGAAGUGCUUACCCGAAAGUGCUGAGCAAGCAGAGAAAGAAGCAAGAAAAACGAGGAAAGACCAGGAAGAAAGAGGGAAGAGGUGAUUGGACAUUUCCAGGAAGUCACAAGGAAUGCUCUGAAUCCUGGGAUUACACUCAGAGUAAGAAAAGAAUGAAAGAAGGAGGAAUGCCCAAACUAAAUGGCAUUCAUAAGGAUGUCACUGGUGCUUUAUCCCGCCAAAGGAUGGAUGCAUCUCCCUGAGACAGUGACAGGAAUGAAAGAUGCAACAGAGUCGCAGUGGGUACAGUUGUUGGGAAGAAUUAUUUUUUUUGUUUUCCUACAGACUUUAAAUUGUUAAUUAUACAGAUUACAUUUGGACAUUUCUUAAAGGCUAUAUGGAUAGUUUAAUAGGUUAAAAAAGGAGGGCGAAAGCUAAAUGCAUUUCAAAACUCAAAAGAAGAUUGAGUUUAAACUCUUUUGAAACCAGAGAGAAGGUAUAAGGUUUGCUAUGAUAUUUACCG